RNAcentral lists this ribosomal RNA (525 nucleotides) under uncultured Chlorobiota bacterium. RNAcentral's name for it is "bacterial SSU rRNA". It matches the Rfam family "Bacterial small subunit ribosomal RNA", at positions 27 to 562 of the family's 1533-position model. Lineage: Bacteria; Pseudomonadati; Chlorobiota. The record is from RNAcentral.
GGACGAACGCUGGCGGCGUGCCUAACACAUGCAAGUCAAAGAAAAGCGACUUCGGUCGUCGUACUUGGCGCAAGGGUGAGUAAUGUAUAGGUAAUCUGCCUUUUGGACUGGGAUAACCCCGAGAAAUCGGGGACAAUACCAGAUGAUGCAGCGGAAUCGCAUGGUUAUGUUGUUAAAGAUUUAUCGCCAAAAGAUGAGCCUAUAUCCCAUCAGGUAGUUGGUAAGGUAACGGCUUACCAAGCCUACGACGGGUAGCUGGUCUGAGAGGAUGAUCAGCCACAUUGGAACUGAGACACGGUCCAACUCCUACGGGAGGCACAUGAGGAAUAUUGCGCAAUGGGCGAAAGCCUGACGCACAACGCCGCGUGGAUGAUGAGGUUCUUCGGAAUGUAAAAUCCUUUUGCAGGGACGAACAGGUCGGCUUGCCGGCUGUGACGGUACCCUGCGAAUAAGCCACGGCUAACUCUGUGCCAGCAGCCGCGGUGAUACAGGGGUGGCAAGCGUUGUCCGGAUUUACUGUGUGUA